Non-coding RNA from Ricinus communis (castor bean), 53 nucleotides. The record is from Rfam. Lineage: Eukaryota; Viridiplantae; Streptophyta; Magnoliopsida; Malpighiales; Euphorbiaceae.
GGGUGCGAUCAUACCAGCACUAAUGCACCGGAUCCCGUCAGAACUCCGAAGUA